Long non-coding RNA from Xiphophorus maculatus (southern platyfish), 763 nucleotides. RefSeq lists it as uncharacterized. The transcript is spliced from 3 exons. NCBI's taxonomy places the organism in Eukaryota, Metazoa, Chordata, Actinopteri, Cyprinodontiformes, Poeciliidae. The record is from RefSeq and is a predicted model, not a curated record.
GAGUAUAUAUAUAUAUUAUAUAAAUUGAUAGUCCAUCUCGAACCACACUCCAUACCAGUAUGUGGCGGUAAUGCUACUUAAAGUUUGUUGUCAGCCGCCAAUAAACUCAAGAAGAAGAAGAAGAAGAAGAGGUGUGUGUGUCUUUGCUUCCCCUACUACAUGACGGCUUCACAAAUGGCUGGUGUGCUUGAUCCGCUCAUCUGAAUCCGUUGCUCGGCUGGCGUUAGCGGCUGCAGCUGGAGGUCGUUGCGGCUUCCAUCUAGUCCUCGCCUGCUGAUCCGCUCUCUGCCUGGGUCGGCUGUGCUACCACUCCUGGGAUUGUUUUGGAGUUGCAGCGCUUGGACGCUCUGCUGUCUUGUUGUGCCGGUGUUUGUUUGGGCCGCUCUGAAGGAAACCUGUUGCUGAUUGGACAGGCUGAGGGAGCGGGGCAGGACUCCUCUGGCCCCAUUUGAAAGGCACUGAUAUUGGACAACGACGAUUUGUUCCACCGUUUAAAGUGUUUUAUUUUUUUCUUUUACAGUUUGUUUGCUUGUUGUUGAAAUUAUUAAUGAGUUUGCUUUCUUUUAUUUUGACUGACUAAUUUGUUUUCUUUUGCAUUACAUGUUUUGUUUGUUCAUUUAUUAUUAUUUGUUUUUGGAAUAAUUCAAACUGUCAUUUUAUUUCACAUGAUCCCUUUUCCUUUCCAGGAACAGAGUAGUGGGCCUGAAGCCAUGCUUUUAAAAGGAAAUGUUUUAAUGAAAUUGUUUAAAUAAAAUAUUGUAAA